UCUGUCAGUAGCAGCCCUUGGAUUAGGAUUCUACUCAGAUAGAAGAAGAGAAAUUCUAGAGAAGAAGGAGAAGAAUAAGAGGGAGAAGAUAUGAGGGAGAGAAAGAAGAUAGGGGAGAGAAGAGCAAGAGAAUAGAAGAGAGAAAUAUUUGUUAUUGUAUUCAAUUUCUGGAUAUCCUCUUCUACAAGUAAAUUUCACUAUUUAUACUAACUUGUUACAUUAAGUGCCUAUCACAUCAACUCCUAUAACUAUCUUUGACUUCCACUAACCACCUUCAACUCAUAACCAAUUCUCCCUCCAAUUACCAGUCCCUAGCCUGCAUAUGCUUUAAUCUCUUGUAUGUGACAUUACCCCUUCCUUUAGAACCUUCUUGACCCCAAGACGGUUGAAAAGCUGGAACUGCUGAGCAUCAUUUUCAGCUUUUGUUGCAGCAACAUAACACUGGAACCAGCAACUUAGAGAGUCAUUUGGCAAUAAUACCUUCAGCAAAGGCCUAAUUUCUUCCUCUGGCUUCUCCUCAUUUCAAACUCAUUCUCUCUGAGCAAAAAAUGAAUGUGGUACCCAAAGAAAUACAUCUUCAUUCUCUGUCUUCUUCUAAUUUCAAACUCAUUCUCUUUGAGCAUCAUCUGAUUGCAUGAUCUCAGCCCAAAUAAACUUCUCCUAAGAACAAGAGUACCCUUGUAACGAAAAACUAUAGGAACCAUGCCAGCUCCUUGUUGUAACCUUGCUUUCUCAACUGCCAUCUGAAUAACAUUCACAAAUAAAAGAUGAGAAUCACGUGGACAAUCCAGCACUCUUCCCUUUGAGAAUGACAAAUUGGAUUUUCCAACUUCAAAAUUUGAAUGGGAAUUACAACUCAAAUUGGCUUCAUCCACAGUUUCAAUAGACAAUGUUUCCUUGCAUACAGAAUUGGUUCCUAAUUUCCCAAGAAGAAACUUCUCAUCAGUGACUUGCUGCCUAUUGCUGAGUCCUGUUUCCCCUCCUUAUACAAAACACAAUUCCAAUGCCGUUCUAUUAGUUAAGGCUGCAAUGUUUUCAGUUUCAUUUUCUAUAAAACUCUCCAGAAGUUGGGGUUUCAGCUCUGAAUUUUCUUCCUCAGCUGUAAGUGAAGCAUGAACAUUAGACAAUUCUACAUUGAGAUGCUCUUCUGCUAUGCCCACACCAUUAAUGGUUACUUGUGCCUCUAUUUGGGGGGUUGGAAUAACAUCUAUUAUAGCAUUUUCUAUGAACAUAUCCCCUUUGGAUUUUGUCACUUGAAACAAUUUCUUUACCUCUUCUUGUUUCGCUUCCAACGCUUAUCCAAUUUCAUCAAUAACUCCUUAAUCCUCAUCACAUUUUCUUACUUUUCUGUCAAUAGUUUCCAAUGAUUUCUCAAGAUCCUCUUGGUCCCAAGAUUAUAUUUCCAUGUUAUGAAGAAAAGAAAACCAAACAGGAGGUUUAAAGAAAGAAUUAGAAACAGAAGAAAAAUACAACCAAACAAGAAAGAAAGUGAAGGAAACGAAUCAGAUAUUUCAAGAAUUUCAAGAAACAGAUUUCUUGAAAUGCAAGAAUUGAGAAAUUAAAGAAGUGAAGAAAGAACCACAAAACAACUAGAAAAAGAAGAGAAUCCGAUUCAAGACUUCAAGAAUUCAAGAAAGAACAAAGAGGAGGAUAGAAAUUUUAAUGAAAUAAAGAAGAAACAGAGAGCAGAAAGAAAAGAAAUUUAAGGGAAUGAAGGCAGGAAAAAAUAGAGGAAAGAAAGAGAAGAAUCUUAGAAAAGAAAGAAAGAAGGAAUAGAGGGAAGAAAGGAAAGAAAUUUCAGGAAAGAAGAAAGAAGAAUUUGGAGGGAAAGAAGAGAGAAAGUGAGAAGAGUAGAAAAAAACCUGAUUCUGCCAUGGAUGCGACCUAGAUUAGCCAUUUGCAGCUCCAGCCCACUCGAAAAGAAGCUCUGAUACCAAUUUGUCAGUAGCAGCCCUUGGAUUAAGAUUCUACUGAGAUAGAAGAAGAGAAAUUGUAGAGAAGAGGGAGAAGAUAUGAGAGAGAGAAAGAAGAUAGGAGAGAGAAGGGCAAGAGAAUAGAAGAGAGAAAUAUUUGUUAUUGUAUUCAAUUUCUAGAUAUCCUCUUCUACAAAUAAACUUCACUAUUUAUGCUAAAUUGUUACAAUACGUGCCUAUCACAUCAACUCCUAUAACUAUCUUUGACUUCCACUAACCACCUUCAACUCAUAACCAAU
This 2212-nucleotide long non-coding RNA is filed under the name Manihot esculenta (cassava). Its description in RNAcentral is "long non-coding RNA (MESC_LNC005200)". The record is from RNAcentral. Lineage: Eukaryota; Viridiplantae; Streptophyta; Magnoliopsida; Malpighiales; Euphorbiaceae.